AUGGUCCGGCAGGCCCCGCACCUCCACCCCGCGGGAGGCUGGCGGCCCACGACGCGCCCCUCCUCCGCGGGCUCGGGUUUCCUGGCUGGCACCGCGCGUCCCGUGCGACCUGCUGGGGCGCAGAAACCCCAAUCCUGGGGCCGGCCGGAGCCGCCGGGGCCGAGGCCGCUGCCUCCUCGCCGGGAGCCAGAUUGCUUUUUUCCGGUGAGGAGGUCGGGUGGGGGAGGAGCGCGGAGGGGCAGAAGGGGAGGCCGGGCGAGCCCCCGGCCUGAGCGCCCGGGUCCCCGCGGGGGCGGGGCGGGGGCCACACCUGGGGGAAACGCGCUUAGAGGCUGCGGCGGGAGAAGGCGGCUGCGCCGGGCGGCAGGGGCGAUCUUCCCCGCCUUCCUCCCGGCCCCGAGCUCCUCUGGUGGGCUUUCCAGGCGCCUCCAGGAAUUUGAAGGAGAAUUCCCGCAGACCUGCGAUGGCUGCAGCAGCUCUGGUUGCUUCUGGGCGCCCUAAGUCUCCAAGCCCGCGUGAGGGCUGGGAAUGGACAUGGUCGGGGAAGACACUCAGGGUAAGCUGAACACAUUGCUUCAGGGAGGGUGUGGCAGGAGGGGGGCGGUGGCAGCUCGCCUCAAAUCCUGUGCUCCGUUUAGGAUGCCCAAGAACUCUGGCCAAGAAUAGCCUACCUAUUGAUCUCACCCUUUCUGUCCUGUCCUCCAACAGCCAGCUGAGGCAAGAGGGCAGCUGAGGCAGGAAGCCAGGGCAGAGAUCCUCUCAGGCUUCAGCCCUCCCAGCUGGCUUCUAACUAACGUCUCUCUGUUCAGUCCCUCUGACUCCCCUGGCUGUGACUUCCCAACCACCCAGCCCCAGUCUCACUGCCUUGGACACUUGGAAGGACCACCUGUCCUGGAAGCUCUUUCCUCCCCGGCCCGCCCUAGACCGUCCUUUCUUCCUUCCAUCUCAGACUGUUUCUUUCCUGGCCCUGCUUCGUAGAAACGGGCCCCGAGAUUUUUGCCUAUCUCUUAUUCCCCUGUCUCUUUCUGAGAAAACCAGCGUGUCACCUGCCACCGCCUCACACCCAACUGCUUUCUCCCCCAAACUCUGCACCUUGGCUGGACUUCCCAAGCUGCAGAGACACUGAGCUCUGUCUCAAUGACUGCAAUGGCUUUCCACGUGUCUCUCUCCUACUCACACACUCCUCAGGACAUCACAUAGUUUGUUCAAAUCGCCUUACCUUCUCUUAAACUACAGCUCUGCCUCUAUCACACCAUCUUUAGUAGACUCAGCAUGGCUUGCAAGCCCCUGCCCAGUCCUGCCCAGGCCCCCCUUCAGCCCUGUCCUUCCAGCUCCCCUUCAAGAAUGCUGGCAAAACUACAACCUUUGCAUCCAUCAGGCACAUUGGGCCCAUUUUUUUUUUUUUUUUUUGGCCAUGCCACACAGCUUGUGGGAUCUUAGUUCUCUGACCAGGGAUCAAACCCUUUCCCUCUGAAGUAGAAGCGCAGAGUCCCAACCACUGAAUUGCCCAGGAAUUCCCGCUGGACCCAUCUUUGCUCAUGAGUUUCCCACUGCCCAGGAUACCCUUCGCCAGCAUGCUAGCAUGUCCACACCACAGCCAUCUCCUCAGCUCCACAGAUGCCCUUCACUCCCCCAGGGGCAGUGGCCAUCUCUGCUGUCCUUGGUUCCUCUGGCCAUGAACUUGCCCUGGCUUUGGGGGCACAUAUCACAGCUUCUCCAGAACUGUACUUACCAUGUUCGUGUCAUGGUUCUGCAGGACAACAAGGGACUCCGAUGUAGAUUCAGUCAGUCUUUGGCUCCCCCGUAAUACCCAGCACGGUAUGUUACACAGAGUAUUUAUUGAAGAAAUAAACCAAC
Molecule: long non-coding RNA, 1857 nt
Organism: Cervus hanglu yarkandensis (Yarkand deer)
Lineage: Eukaryota; Metazoa; Chordata; Mammalia; Artiodactyla; Cervidae
Source: Ensembl